Molecule: ribosomal RNA, 253 nt
Filed under: uncultured bacterium
Lineage: Bacteria
Description: partial 16S ribosomal RNA
Rfam family: Archaeal small subunit ribosomal RNA
Source: RNAcentral
UACCAGCACCCCGAGUGGUCGGGACGUUUAUUGGGCCUAAAGCCUCCGUAGCCGGUUCUACAAGUCUUCCGUUAAAUCCAGCUGCUUAACAGAUGGGCUGCGGAAGAUACUAUGGAGCUAGGAGGCGGGAGAGGCAAGCGGUACUCGAUGGGUAGGGGUAAAAUCCGUUGAUCCAUUGAAGACCACCAGUGGCGAAGGCGGCUUGCCAGAACGCGCUCGACGGUGAGGGAUGAAAGCUGGGGGAGCAAACCGG